AUGGAGUCACAGACACAGAUCCUCAUGUCCCUGCUGCUCUGGGUGUCGGGUGCAUGUGCUGAUGUCGUGAUGACACAGUCUCCUUCCUCCCUGGCUGUGUCAGCAGGAGAGAAGGUCACCAUCAAUUGCAAGUCUAGUCAGAGUCUUGUAUACAGUGACGACAAGAAGAACUACUUGUACUGGUACCAGCAGAAACCAGGACAGGCUCCUAAACUACUAAUCUACUGGGCAUCCACUCGGCACACAGGGGUCCCUGAUCGUUUCACAGGCAGUGGAUCUGAGACUGAUUUCACUCUCACCAUCAGCAGUGUCCAGGCUGAAGACCUGGCAGAUUAUUACUGUAUGCAAGCUAAUGAGUAUCCUCCCACAGUGCUUCAGCCUCCAACAAAAACUUCUGAGAAUCUCAGCAGUGCCUAUUCAGAUAUCAUGAUGACCUGGUCUCCAUCCUCACCAGCUGUGUCAGCAGGAGAGAAGGUCACCAUCAGCUGCAAAUCCAAUCAGAUUCUUUUAUACAGUGCCUAUAACUUCUUGACAUUGUACCAGCAGAAACCAGGACAGGCUCCUAAACUACUGAUCUACUGGGCAUCCACUUGA
Microtus ochrogaster (prairie vole) is the source of this 594-nucleotide non-coding RNA. Lineage: Eukaryota; Metazoa; Chordata; Mammalia; Rodentia; Cricetidae. The record is from the annotation of a RefSeq genome assembly.